UUCUUCUUCUUCUUCUCCCAAGCCGGGAUCCGCUGCGCACGACAACACUCGAAUCCCACGAUCGCCGACUCCCCCUCGAGCCCAAGCCCCAGCCGGACGAUCGCCAACCCCGGCGACGCUGAGCUUCCUCAGAUUGUUGAGCCUUUUACUGCUCACUAUGUGUUUGCCCUGGGAGUUGCAAGGUUCUUGAGUUGUGCUCAUUGGGUUCUCUAGGUUUUGGAUACUCGAGGUCGGCUAUUGACAGCUUUUGGUUAUGGAUUAUGGCCUUCUAUGGUUCUUAUUUCAGAGAUUGUCCAAACAUUCAUAUUAGCCGAACUUAUGAUAUUACUAUGCCAAAAGUGUUAUUGGAAGACAGCUUGUAUUACGUCUUUCCUCAGGGGUCGUUUGAUGGGGC
This is a long non-coding RNA of Impatiens glandulifera, 394 nucleotides long. RefSeq lists it as uncharacterized. NCBI's taxonomy places the organism in Eukaryota, Viridiplantae, Streptophyta, Magnoliopsida, Ericales, Balsaminaceae. The record is from RefSeq and is a predicted model, not a curated record. The transcript has 4 exons.